Molecule: ribosomal RNA, 483 nt
Filed under: uncultured bacterium
Lineage: Bacteria
Description: bacterial SSU rRNA
Rfam family: Bacterial small subunit ribosomal RNA
Source: RNAcentral
AACUAACGCUGGCGGCGUGCCUAACACAUGCAAGUCGUACGAGAAAGCCGGCUUCGGCUGGUGAGUAAAGUGGCGCACGGGUGAGUAACGCGUGGAUAAUCUGCCCUUAAGUGUGGAAUAACGUACCGAAAGGUGCGCUAAUACCGCAUAAUGCCUGGCAACACAAGUUGUCCGGCCAAAGAAGGCCUCUGUUUACAAGCUUUCGCUUCAGGAUGAGUCCGCGUACCAUUAGCUUGUUGGUGGGGUAAUGGCCUACCAAGGCUGCGAUGGUUAGCUGGUCUGAGAGGAUGAUCAGCCACACUGGAACUGAGACACGGUCCAGACUCCUACGGGAGGCAGCAGUGAGGAAUAUUGCGCAAAUGGGGGCAACCCUGACGCAGCAACGCCGCGUGAGUGAGGAAGGUUUUCGGACUGUAAAAGCUCUGUCGAGCGGGAAGAAGUGUACCAUGGCUAAUAUCCAUGAUAUUUGACGUACCGCUAGAG